This 1179-nucleotide long non-coding RNA is filed under the name Lactuca sativa (garden lettuce). RNAcentral's name for it is "long non-coding RNA (LSAT_LNC001681)". The record is from RNAcentral. Lineage: Eukaryota; Viridiplantae; Streptophyta; Magnoliopsida; Asterales; Asteraceae.
GUUUACAUUUUGAUAUUUGAUUUUUUUUAAUCAACCGUGUAUUAGUUUUACACCUAGUCUGCUAAUUUAAUAUUAUAUAACUGUUUAUGAUUAGGAAUCAUCAGUUCUUACAAGGUUAAUAAGUUUGAGUCUGGUUGAUGUCAAUCCACGAAGCACCAUGCUUGUUUAACCCAUCAAGUCCAUUAUCAUUAUCAUUGUGAGGCCUAAACUACUUCAUGUUUGUUCUUGUUCUUAAAUAGUCUUUUCAUGGGAUGAAGAUUCACCACUGAAGUCAUUAAUCAUUGACUGCUACGUUGCGACUUUUAUGUCCACAUAAUAACUGCAAUAGGCGAAAUCGAUUUCAAUCUUGUUGCAGACACCAAUAAUCAGCUCAUCAUUCUCACCUCUUUAUUCAAGAGGAUCCACAAUACCUUUGAAUCAAAACAUCACAAAAAUUAACAACAAUUACAAAUCAGGAUUAAUUCACCAUUAAUCUAAUACUUGUUGUCCACAAAUACUUUCGAUUUCAUUCUUAUACGUUAAAAACGAAUUUUCGUAUAAGAUACAAACUAACUAGACAAAUAUGAAAAUAAAUGGAUCAGAUUUCUGGCUUGGAUUCUCUAAAAAAGAGAAUGUUUAAAUAGCGCACAGUAUAAUCAAAUUCGAUCAUCUGGGGAAAUAAUCAUCACUUCCAUCCCUUUCCCUAUUAAUACCUAGUAAAUAAACGAACUCCAGGAAAUUAAAAUCCGAAAAUUACUUUCGUCUUAAAAUACAGAUCCAAAAGACUCAAAAACAACAUAAUAACGAGAAACAGAAGUUUAAAUCAUUGAUCAGAUAAUUGUAGUCUGGAAGUAUUUUUAGAUCGACAUUGUGUUUUCCGACAACUUGCUCAUCACCUCAAUGACAAAAACUAAAAUCAAUUGCAUAUUAUAGAGGCAUAAAUUAAAUAAAAAAUAAAAUUAAAAAAAAACACAGAGAGAGAUAGUAGGAUGCUCAGAAGGAUCCAUUGGUUGUUUCUAAUCACGAGCAGAAAAUCAAGUUUUCCCUCAUAAAAUAGGUAGAUUUAAUCAUCACAGCAUCUCUACGAUUAUUAACUAAAAGAAAAAACGAAACCAAGUUACCUGGAAUCUGGUAUGCGAUGGGGAUUUAGAAUCAAUGGGUUGUGUGUGUUUAUAUAUGCGUUUCUGUAAGCGGCUGUAA